AUUGAACGCUGGCGGCAGGCCUAACACAUGCAAGUCGAGCGAGCGGCGGACGGGUGAGUAAUGUAUGGGGAUCUGCCCGAUCGAGGGGGAUAACUACUGGAAACGGUGGCUAAUACCGCAUACUAUCGGAUGAACCCAGAUGGGAUUAGCUAGUAGGUGGGGUAAAGGCUCACCUAGGCGACGAUCGCUAGCUGGUCUGAGAGGAUGAUCAGCCACACUGGGACUGAGACACGGCCCAGACUCCGACGGGAGGCAGCAGUGGGGAAUAUUGCGCAAUGGGCGCAAGCCUGAUCCAGCAAUGCCGCGUGUGUGAAGAAGGUCUUAGGGUUGUAAAGUACUGUCAGCGGGGAAGCGUUACCCGCAGAAGAAGCACCGGCUAACUCCGUGCCAGCAGCCGCGGUAAUAC
Molecule: ribosomal RNA, 406 nt
Filed under: uncultured bacterium
Lineage: Bacteria
Description: partial 16S ribosomal RNA
Rfam family: Bacterial small subunit ribosomal RNA
Source: RNAcentral